RNAcentral lists this ribosomal RNA (157 nucleotides) under uncultured Thelephoraceae. RNAcentral's name for it is "5.8S ribosomal RNA". The stretch from base 1 to 98 matches the Rfam family "5.8S ribosomal RNA", at positions 58 to 154 of the family's 154-position model. Rfam says of the family: 5.8S ribosomal RNA (5.8S rRNA) is a component of the large subunit of the eukaryotic ribosome. It is transcribed by RNA polymerase I as part of the 45S precursor that also contains 18S and 28S rRNA. Functionally, it is thought that 5.8S rRNA may be involved in ribosome translocation. Lineage: Eukaryota; Fungi; Basidiomycota; Agaricomycetes; Thelephorales; Thelephoraceae. The record is from RNAcentral.
AUAAGUAAUGUGAAUUGCAGAAUUCAGUGAAUCAUCGAAUCUUUGAACGCACCUUGCGCCCUUUGGCUAUUCCGAAGGGCAUGCCUGUUUGAGUAUCAUGAACACCUCAACUCUCAUGGCUUGCCAUGAUGAGCUUGGACCAUGGGGGUCUUGCUGG